CUGCUGUGAUGACCAUCUUAGGACACCUUUGGAUUAAAGAUGAAAACAACACUCUAAAAUUCUGAGCAGC
Molecule: small nucleolar RNA, 70 nt
Organism: Labrus bergylta (ballan wrasse)
Lineage: Eukaryota; Metazoa; Chordata; Actinopteri; Labriformes; Labridae
Gene: SNORD58
Rfam family: Small nucleolar RNA SNORD58
About the family: snoRNA U58 is found in introns 1, 3 and 6 of the ribosomal protein RPL17 gene in humans.
Source: Ensembl